AAUAAGUACAGUUUUAGCACUGUUCAUGGUCAACGUUUGACCGUUUGUUCUAUUUGAAAAAAUAUUAUGAUUAGUAUUUUUAUUGUUAUUAGAUGAUAAAACAUAAAUAGUACUUUAUGUGUGACUAAUUUUUUUUAAUAUUUUUUAUAAAUUUUACAAAUAAGACGGAUGGUCAAAAUGCUAAACACGGAUAUCUAUGGCUGCACUUGUU
Molecule: non-coding RNA, 211 nt
Organism: Oryza nivara
Lineage: Eukaryota; Viridiplantae; Streptophyta; Magnoliopsida; Poales; Poaceae
Source: Rfam